Eriocheir sinensis (Chinese mitten crab) is the source of this 802-nucleotide long non-coding RNA. RefSeq lists it as uncharacterized. The record is from RefSeq and is a predicted model, not a curated record. Lineage: Eukaryota; Metazoa; Arthropoda; Malacostraca; Decapoda; Varunidae. The transcript has 4 exons.
UGCAGUGACAGGUGUCAUAGGGCCAGCAGAUGAUGAAGCAGUGGCAGGUGUCAUAGGGCCAGCAGAUGAUGAAGCAGUGGCAGGUGUCAUAGGGCCAGCAGAUGAUGAAGCAGUGGCAGGUGUCAUAGGGCCAGCAGAUGAUGAAGCAGUGGCAGGUGUCAUAGGGCCAGCAGAGGAUGAAGCAGUGGCAGGUGUCAUAGGGCCAGCAGAUGAUGAAGCAGUGGCAGGUGUCAUAGGGCCAGCAGAUGAUGAAGCAGUGGCAGGUGUCAUAGGGCCAGCAGAUGAUGAAGCAGUGGCAGGUGUCAUAGGGCCAGCAGAUGAUGAAGCAGUGGCAGGUGUCAUAGGGCCAGCAGAGGAUGAAGCAGUGGCAGGUGUCAUAGGGCCAGCAGAUGUUGAAGCAGUGGCAGGUGUCAUAGGGCCAGCAGAUGUUGAAGCAGUGGCAGGUGUCAUAGGGCCAGCAGAUGUUGAAGCAGUGGCAGGUGUCAUAGGGCCAGCAGAUGAUGAAGCAGUGGCAGGUGUCAUAGGGCCAGCAGAUGAUGAAGCAGUGGCAGGUGUCAUAGGGCCAGCAGAUGAUGAAGCAGUGGCAGGUGUCAUAGGGCCAGCAGAUGAUGAAGCAGUGGCAGGUGUCAUAGGGCCAGCAGAUGAUGAAGCAGUGGCAGGUGUCAUAGGGCCAGCAGAUGAUGAAGCAGUGGCAGGUGUCAUAGGGCCAGCAGAGGAUGAAGCAGUGGCAGGUGUCAUAGGGCCAGCAGAUGAUGAAGCAGUGGCAGGUGUCAUAGGGCCAGCAGAUGUUGAAGCAGUGGCU